Long non-coding RNA from Haliotis rubra (blacklip abalone), 404 nucleotides. RefSeq lists it as uncharacterized. The record is from RefSeq and is a predicted model, not a curated record. The transcript has 2 exons. NCBI's taxonomy places the organism in Eukaryota, Metazoa, Mollusca, Gastropoda, Lepetellida, Haliotidae.
AUAAGAUCUGUUUGACAUCCAAGUGACGUGGUAACAUUGAUGCCUGAACUUGGGAAGAGGGACCCUUGUCAGAAGGAAGCCUGUGAAAUUCAGAAAUGUUUGCAAGCUAACAAGUACGUUGAGUCUGCGUGUGUGUCCGUGAUCAAUGCCAUGCGGCGAUGCUGUGAGAGGAAUGCUGGGAUGGAAUCGGUGUGCUGCUCAGGAUUUCAGAAGUCAAACUACCAGACAAACACAAAAUGUGAAGGCUCCUGAUCUUAUAGCUGCCGCACUGGACAUCCACAGCAGCUGAAUAUUUAGGUCAUUUGUCUCCAUGUACCAGGAUGUUGAUCUCUCUGUCUCCACCAUACUUGGUUCAGUCGUUGUUUUAGUUUCACAAGGAUGAAUAAAGACAUUGUGUGUGUCUU